Molecule: non-coding RNA, 808 nt
Filed under: Stegodyphus mimosarum
Lineage: Eukaryota; Metazoa; Arthropoda; Arachnida; Araneae; Eresidae
Description: Eukaryotic small subunit ribosomal RNA
Rfam family: Eukaryotic small subunit ribosomal RNA
Source: Rfam by way of RNAcentral
GUAGAUGAUCCUCCUGGUUGUCAUAUGUUAAUCUCAAAGAUUAAGUAUUGCACGUCUAAGUAAAUGCCCGAUUAAAGCGAAACCGAGGAUGGGUCAUUAAAUUGUUUAUGGUUCGUUGAAUCGUGGCUUACUAGUUGAAUAACUGUGGCAAUUCUCGAGCUGAUACAUACAAUAGAGCUCCGAUCCUUCAGGGACGAGUGCUUUUAUUUCACCAAAACCGAUCGUCCCUCGUGUCCGUAUUGUGUGGUGACUCUGUUAACCUUUAAGCUGUUCUCAUGGACUCAUCCUGUCGAUGUGUCUUUCAAAUGUGUGUUUUAUCGGCUGUCGGUGGUAGGUUACACACAUAUCGUGGUCUUAACGGAUGACGGGGAAUCAAGGUUUGAUUCCAGAGACGGAGUCUAAGUAACAGCUAACACAUCCAAGGAAGACAACAAGUGCGCAAAUCACCCACUCCCAAAACGGAAAAAUAGUAACAAAAAAUAACAAUACGGGAGUCUUUUGAGAACCCGUAACUGCAAUGAGUACACUCUAAAUCAUUUAACGAGGAUCAGUUGCAUGGCUAAUCUGUUUCCAAAAGCGGCGGUAAUUUCAGUAGCUUAUAUUAAAGUUGUUGCUGUUAGAAAACACGCAGUUGGAGAUCAGCUCCAGACUGCUGGUCUGCUUAACGGUAAUUACUGCCUAUUCGGAACAGCGAUCUGUUUUCCUUUGAUGAUCUUAGCGGCUGUCUUGGUGAGCGGCAAGUUUACUUUAAAAAGAUUAGAGUGCGUUUUUGGAAUACGUGGUAAUGAUUAAGAGGGACGGACGUUAA